Small nuclear RNA from Phyllostomus hastatus (greater spear-nosed bat), 102 nucleotides. Lineage: Eukaryota; Metazoa; Chordata; Mammalia; Chiroptera; Phyllostomidae. The record is from RefSeq and is a predicted model, not a curated record.
GUGUUUGCUCCAGGAGUGCAUAUACUAAAACUGGAACAGAGAAGAUUAAUAUGGUCCCUGUGCAAAGUUGAGACACAAAUUUGUCAAGUAUUCUGUAUUUUC